GAUGAACGCUAGCGGGAGGCCUAACACAUGCAAGCCGAGCGGUAUUGUUUCUUCGGAAAUGAGAGAGCGGCGUACGGGUGCGUAACACGUGUGCAACCUGCCUUUAUCUGGGGGAUAGCCUUUCGAAAGGAAGAUUAAUACUCCAUAAUAUAUUGAACGGCAUCGUUUAAUAUUGAAAGCUCCGGCGGAUAGAGAUGGGCACGCGCAAGAUUAGCUAGUUGGUGAGGUAACGGCUCACCAAGGCGAUGAUCUUUAGGGGGCCUGAGAGGGUGACCCCCCACAGUGGUACUGGGCACAGGACCAACCCCCGAGGGGGGGCACCGGUAGGGGAUAUUGGAGGUGGGGUGAAGGCAUAACCCGCCCACCCCUGGUGAAGAACCCCCGCCUUUGGGUUUAUAACCUUUUUUUGGAAAGGAAAAACCCCACCUGAGGGAGGGUGCCUGAGGUUAAUAUCUAAAAAAGCCCCGGCUAACUCCGUG
This 479-nucleotide ribosomal RNA is filed under the name uncultured bacterium. RNAcentral describes it as "partial 16S ribosomal RNA". It matches the Rfam family "Bacterial small subunit ribosomal RNA", at positions 28 to 507 of the family's 1533-position model. The record is from RNAcentral.